UACGUAGGGGGCAAGCGUUGUCCGGAAUUAUUGAGCGUAAAGAGCGUGUAGGCGGUCCGGUAAGUCAGCUGUGAAAGUCAAGGGCUCAACCCUUGAAAGCCGGUUGAUACUGUCGGGCUAGAGUCCGGAAGAGGCGAGUGGAAUUCCCGGUGUAGCGGUGAAAUGCGCAGAUAUCGGGAGGAACACCAAUGGCGAAGGCAGCUCGCUGGGACGGUACUGACGCUCAUGUGCGAAAGCGUGGGGAGCAAACAGG
This 253-nucleotide ribosomal RNA is filed under the name uncultured bacterium. RNAcentral describes it as "partial 16S ribosomal RNA". It matches the Rfam family "Bacterial small subunit ribosomal RNA", at positions 524 to 776 of the family's 1533-position model. The record is from RNAcentral.